GCUGGAAUAACUCAGUUGGUAGAGUACCUCACUCGUAAUGAGGAAGCCGAGGGUUCAAGUCCCUUUUCCAGCUCCA
RNAcentral lists this transfer RNA (76 nucleotides) under Ruminococcus flavefaciens. RNAcentral's name for it is "tRNA-Thr". It matches the Rfam family "tRNA". Rfam says of the family: Transfer RNA (tRNA) molecules are approximately 80 nucleotides in length. Their secondary structure includes four short double-helical elements and three loops (D, anti-codon, and T loops). Lineage: Bacteria; Bacillati; Bacillota; Clostridia; Eubacteriales; Oscillospiraceae. RNAcentral also lists the same sequence under 4 other names. The record is from RNAcentral.